AUACUUACUUGGCAGGAGAGACACCAUGAUCACAAAGGUGGUUUUCCCAGGGUGAGGCUCAUCUGGGCAUGCUGACCCCUGCGAUUUCCCAAAAUGUGGAAAACUCAACUGCAUAAUUUUACAGUGGGCCAUUGGUAUCAGCUCGUGGAUACCAAA
Molecule: small nuclear RNA, 156 nt
Organism: Sceloporus undulatus (fence lizard)
Lineage: Eukaryota; Metazoa; Chordata; Lepidosauria; Squamata; Phrynosomatidae
Product: U1 spliceosomal RNA
Exons: 1
Source: RefSeq, a predicted model, not a curated record